This 3147-nucleotide long non-coding RNA is filed under the name Olea europaea subsp. europaea. The record is from RNAcentral. Lineage: Eukaryota; Viridiplantae; Streptophyta; Magnoliopsida; Lamiales; Oleaceae.
GGUAUAUCUAGAAAAAUCAUCAAUGAAAGUAAUGAAAUAUCUAUUUCCUCCUCUAGUUAACAUGUCAUUUAAUUCACAUAUAUCCGAAUGAAUUAAUUCCAAAAUACUAGAGGUUCUUUUUACACUUUGAUGUGGGUUUUUAAUCAUUUUUUUAUUCUACACAUGUUUUGCAUUUAUAAAUAUUAUUUUCAUCAUAUGAAAUCAAAUCACACUUUUUCAUACGUUUCAUAGUGCUUUUACCAAUGUGUCAUAAUCUAGCAUGCCAUAAUAAAAAUAAUUCAACAACAUAAGUAAAAUUAGAUUUAUUUAUUUCAUUGUUAACGGUACAUAAUUUCACCAUUCCAUCACAAGAAUAGCAUUUUCUAACAAAAUUUCCUUUAAGGGAUAAUACAAGUUUACCGGAUUCAUACACACAUUUGAUACCCGAUUUUCCUAAGAGAUUUCCACUGACCAAGUUCUUAAUCAUUUCUGGAACAUGUAGUAUAUUAGUAAGGGUAAUGAUUUUUCCAGAAGUGAAGAAUAUAUCAACAUUUCCCUUGCCAAUUACUUUGGACCAAACUUCAUUGCCCAUUUGAAUCUCUUGAUCUCCAUCUACUUCUUUAUAGGUUUUGAAUAAAGAUUUAUCAUAUGAUACAUACACUGUAGCACAAGUAUCAUACCACCACCCGGGAACCUUUCCCUUGAUUACAUUUAUUUCGCUUACGGUGGCCACAAUCUUUUCUUCUUGAAUGAAUUUUAUUUUACCGUCGGAGUUGUUUCUUUUCCGGUGUCUACAAUCCUUUGCGUAGUGUCCAGAUUUACCACACACAAAGCAUCCUCAUUUGAUCUUCUUCUUGGACUUGUUAAAGUUCCUUGAAGACUUCCUUUUAUUGGACUUUGUAGGCGGUUCAGAUUUCUUAAAGGCAUUGGCUUUAGAAGUUCCUUCCGAAGAAUUUUCACUUCUAUCACGCAAUAUGGAUUCUUCUUCAAUCCAAAAAUGUUUUUUUAAUUGUUCCAAAGUAUCUUCGGAACUAUGCAUUAUUUUCUUCCGGUAUCCUUUCCAAACCCUUGGGAGUUUAGCAAUUAUAGCCCCCACUUGAAAGGUCUCCAAAAUUUCAAUCUUUACCGCUUUUAAUUUGUUGAGAAUAACUUGUAACUCAUGUAUUUGGGGAAGAAGGAGAAUAUUAUCUAAAAAUUUAAAAUCAAAGCACUUUGAAAUUAAAAAUUUCUUAGUACCUUCUUCUUCCGCUUUAUACUUACUCUCCAAAACAUUCCAAAUUUCCUUUGCCGACGUAGUAUUUGUUUAUAAAUCAUAUAGAUGAUCUGAUAGUGCAUUCAAAAUGUGACCGCGGCAAAUUAAUUCAUCUUCUUGCCUUUUUUGUCUUUCAGCCCUAACUGCUUCGGUUUCUCCAUUUGUGGGUUCCGAUAGAGGCGUCAACUCGGGAUCUAAGAUGUAGAAGAUCUUCAAUGCAAUAAGAAGAAACUUCAAUUUGUCUUGCCAACGCGUGAAAUUUGUGUCAUCGAACCGAUCCAAUCGCACCAAGUCUUGAUUCAUAAGUUUUAUGGUUGACAUUUUAGUUUCGUUCUCCAUAUCAACUUCAAUAUUCGUUUGAGAUUGUUAGAAAUAGUUUCUCCACCAAGGGGUUAGAGAGCGAAUUACAAUUGUAGAUUGAAAGAAAAUUAGAAGAUGAAGAAUAUAAAACGAAUGUAGGAAGGCUAAAACACGAUAUGAGAUUGUUAUCUUCAAACGAAUUUUGCCCCCACUAGAAAAGAUUAUGGUGCUUAAAGGGUCAUCUGGCAAAAUGUUUGAAUGAUUGAUCAAGCCUUGUAAAGAUUCAAACACUAAGCACUUGUUUGAUUCUCUAAGAACUUAAGAACACAAUGGAAAAGGAAUAUGGAAGAAAAUGGUUUUGUUUUUCUUUCUUUUCUCUUGUUUGAUCUUAUAAACAUGUAAAUUACAAGUGUUUUUUUCAUUCUCUUUAGAUGAUCAAAAAUCACCUAAUUUAUAGCCAUGCAACAUAGCUUCACGAAGUGGUGCCAAAAUUAAGUGAAAGGCUGCCAAAAAACCACACAAACCGACUCCAACGAUCACUGAACUUAUACGAUGCGACCGCAUGGUGAAAAUCCAUGCGGUCGCAUGGUUAGUUAGAACCGAGGGGCCUCGGUUGGUUGCCAUGCGGUCGCGUGGUUUUUUGAACAACCAUCACAGUUAGUGCCAACUUCUUUGCAAGAUCCUGUUCCACCUCCUGUGCAAACUCCAAUGGUACAAUCUUCAUUAGUAUUUCCAGAAUACCAGUGGAGUAGGUAGGGCUGAGGAAGCGAAAAACACUGAGUUACUGGAAGGAUGAUUUCUUGUUGGAUACAACAGUCCUCCACAAGAUACACACAUAAAGGAAGGUAAGUAUAAACCUGAAAAAAUUGGAGCAGAUGCUGUCAUAUUAUUUUAAUAUAUAUAUAACCUGGACCCGAGCAAGUUUUCCAUUCAAAAUAUUAUAAUGUUUUAUUAUUUUUAGAUAACGAAAAAAAAAUUGCAAUUUUAUUAUUUUUAGAAAUCAAACCCUACACCAAUAACACAAUGUUUUUUCAUGUUAUUCAAAGUUAAAAUACUUUUAGAAUACACAUAAAAUUAUUAUAGAUUAAUGGCACAAAAGAUGCACAUUUUAUUCUUUUUUUUUUUCGCUUUCUGUAAAAGAUACUAAAAUUAGCACAUAUACUUGUACAGAAGAAGCACAUUUAAUAUUAAUUAUAGAAUACACAUAAAUUCCGUACCAGUAGCUCAGAAUUAGCACCAUGAGUUGCCUGUCUACUACUUUUACAUUAAACUCAAACUCUAGACCAAUAACACAAAGGAAGAUCAUGUUUUUAGGAGCUACUAAUCUUAGAACAAAAGCCUUUUUAAUAUCUCAAAGUUCAAAAACAAACACUGUAAAAAGAUAUAAUUAUAUUAUGUAGGAAAUUAUUUUACCUUAUUACUUUAAGUUGCACUACAAAAAAUUGCUUUAUUACGUGUCCAUUCAAGAAAUUGCACUUGUGGGUCAUGCAUUGCCUCUAAUUUUCCUAUUGUGAUCUACAUAUACACUAAGAAUCACUAGAAGUUUCCACAUGUAUACAUUUCAAAUUCAGCUUAGUUCGGCAUUUUUCCUUGGGAAAAUUGCAGCCGAGGUACCA